Ziziphus jujuba (common jujube) is the source of this 1699-nucleotide RNA transcript. RefSeq lists it as uncharacterized. The record is from RefSeq and is a predicted model, not a curated record. Lineage: Eukaryota; Viridiplantae; Streptophyta; Magnoliopsida; Rosales; Rhamnaceae. The transcript is spliced from 2 exons.
GGUAGAAAGGAAUCUUUUUAUUUUUUUAAUAAGAAAAAAUAUAAAUAUACUUUUGGCCGCUAUUUUGUCCCCGAUACAAUUGAGUGUACCAAACUUGAAAAUUUUCAAUUGAAUGCUUGAAUUUUCAAUUUGGUAAAUUGGAUUAAUUGAGAUUAUAAACCUCAAACAACUAGCUAGGUGCUAGGAGCUACAUAUAUACUUUGAAAAUUAUAGAAUGUUUUUCACGUGACACUUGAAGAUGAUUUAUCUUACAUCAAAUAUCAAACUGUGUGGUUUUAAAAUUGGGAUUGCUAACAAUUGUUUUGUUAUGUUUUUCACCAGACCAGUAGUAGUGUUUUGGAGAAAAAAUGGAUCCCUUUAGUUCGAAAGAGGCCGAGAAGGAGUCUGACAACGUUAUGCAACAAGCACCUGACCACAUGGGAAAUGCUGAAACAACAGAGGAAGCAGAGAUCAUCACCCACAUGGGUAAUGAACUCUACUGGGAUGCAGUAGAAGGCAAAAUUGGUCCUUCCAUUUCAGAAAAAAGGACCAACUUCCAAGUUUACUUACUCCAAACAAGAACACAGUUCUUCAUAUCUAUAUCACAUCUCUUACUUCCAGAAAAACUCGACCGACCGAGUUCGUGGAAGGGAUUCUGGCAUUGUGUCCAUCGUUGCUGUUGCAGACCAAUGUGAAAGGUGAGACUCUUCUUCACUUAGCUGCAAGAUAUGGGCAUGCUUCAAUUGUAGAGUUGCUCAUCAACCAGUCGAAAGCUCUUCAUCCUCAUGACCAAGAGAGAGGUUCUGAAGUAGCUAAGCAGAUGCUGAGGAUCAUCACCAACGAUGACAAGGACACAGCUUUUCAUGAAGCCGUACGAUUUCGUCAUCUAAGCUUGGUGAAGAUGGUGAUUUUCAGUACUCUGCUAAUGAGGCAGGCGAGACUCCACUCUAUAUGGCCGCUGAGAGAGGAUAUAACGACGUCGUCUACGAGAUAUUGGAGAACUGCAAAUCGCCAGCUACUGCCGGCCCAAAUGGCAGAAACGUUCUCCAUGCUGCAACCAUACGCAAAGAUGAAGGUGCCAUGACAUAUUUUGAUAUAAAUGAUAGGAAGAAUCCUAGAUCAAAUGGGAGAUCUAAUGUUGAAAGAACCAGAUGAGAUGGGCUGGACUCCAUUACAUCAUGCUGCAAAUACGGGAUAUCUUCCUGCAGUCAAACUGUUUGUAAAAUUACCAAUUGGUAGAGAAGCAGCCUACAUGAAGGAUACAAAAGGAAACACUGCUCUUCAUCUUGCAGCUGCUUCAUCUUGCAACGGACGAAAUUAUAAAAUGGUGUACGGAAUGCUGUGAAUUAUUGAACAAUAAAGGCUGGAAUAUUUUACACUCCGCCUUGCAGAAUCAUGACCCUCCGUUUUUUAUCUGGCAAUGGACACCAUACUGAAAAAGAAUGCACUCAGCAACUUGUUAAAUGAAAAGGAUGCUCACGAGGAAUGCACCGCUCCAUCACAUUGCCAUUUCACUUGACAGCGAUCGGCUUGAUAAGCUCAUUCAUCACGCUAGAGUGGAUAAGAUGGCAUUCAACAAACAAAACCAAAAUGCCCUUGACCUUGCUUCCACUUCUGAACCUUCUCCACCAACGAAGGUAAGCUAUUUUCCAUACUUCUCCGACCUCACCCAGAAAAAAAAAAAAAAAAAAAAGCACUCUUUUACUCCGGCACCGCAACA